RNAcentral lists this ribosomal RNA (451 nucleotides) under uncultured bacterium. RNAcentral describes it as "partial 16S ribosomal RNA". It matches the Rfam family "Bacterial small subunit ribosomal RNA", at positions 29 to 523 of the family's 1533-position model. The record is from RNAcentral.
AACGAACGCUGGCGGCAGGCUUAACACAUGCAAGUCGUACGAACGUAGCAAUACGUGAGUGGCGCACGGGAGAGUAAUACAUGGGAACAUGCCUUUUGGUUCGGAAUAACGUCGGGAAACUGACGCUAAUACCGGAUAAGCCCUAAGGGGGAAAGAUUUAUCGCCAAUAGAUUGGCCCAUGUUAGAUUGGCUAGUUGGUAGGGUAAUGGCCUACCAAGGCUACGAUCUAUAGCUGGUCUGAGAGGAUGACCAGCCUCACUGGGACUGAGACACGGCCCAGACUCCUACGGGAGGCAGCAGUGGGGAAUAUUGGACAAUGGGGGAAACCCUGAUCCAGCCAUGCCGCGUGAAUGAUGAAGGCCUUCGGGUUGUAAAGUUCUUUUGACGGGGACGAUGAUGACGGUACCCGUAGAAUAAGCUCCGGCUAACUUCGUGCCAGCAGCCGCCGUAA